RNAcentral lists this long non-coding RNA (205 nucleotides) under Vigna radiata. RNAcentral describes it as "long non-coding RNA (VRAD_LNC016002)". The record is from RNAcentral. Lineage: Eukaryota; Viridiplantae; Streptophyta; Magnoliopsida; Fabales; Fabaceae.
CCCACUUGUCCAAGUUUACCUAUUUGUUCACCAUCCUCACCAUGUUCACCAACAUCAUUUUGCAACUCAAGAAUAUAAUCAGGAUCAGACACUAUGUGAACCACAAACAAAUGAGCUGACCUAUUCCAUAACGCAAUGCUCACCACAUGCAUUGCUCCCUUAUCAUCACUUAACAACUUCAACCUUUCUUCUAAUACACGACCGC